GUGGAUUAGAUACCCUGGUAGUCCACGCCGUAAACGAUGGAUACUAGCUGUUGGGCGCAAGUUCAGUGGCUAAGCGAAAGUGAUAAGUAUCCCACCUGGGGAGUACGAACGCAAGUUUGAAACUCAAAGGAAUUGACGGGGGCCCGCACAAGCGGUGGAGCAUGUGGUUUAAUUCGAUGAUACGCGAGGAACCUUACCAAGGCUUAAAUGUAGUACGACAGGACUGGAAACAGUUUUUUCUUCGGACGUAUUACAAGGUGCUGCAUGGCCGUCGUCAGCU
RNAcentral lists this ribosomal RNA (280 nucleotides) under uncultured bacterium. Its description in RNAcentral is "partial 16S ribosomal RNA". It matches the Rfam family "Bacterial small subunit ribosomal RNA", at positions 773 to 1060 of the family's 1533-position model. The record is from RNAcentral.